Molecule: unclassified non-coding RNA, 279 nt
Filed under: Hevea brasiliensis (rubber tree)
Lineage: Eukaryota; Viridiplantae; Streptophyta; Magnoliopsida; Malpighiales; Euphorbiaceae
Source: RNAcentral
UGCAAAAUUAUUGGGUCACUAGCACAGUGGCAUUUGCCUAUUGAACUGAUCGGGCUUGAGAUUUAAGCUCAGACAUAGGCAACAAGUGAGAUGAAAUUACCUUAAGCACAGCUCAAACUCUUUCCCAUGUCUACGUCUAACCGCAGAAAGGAAUAAUAACCGUAGAAAAAAAAAUACAUGAAUUGUAUGUGUUAUCAUCACAUCGAUAUAAGAAAUAGCAACGCAGGCGCAAAGAGAUGAAGUAUUUUUUAUGGUAAAUUUUAUUACUUAACAGAUGAG